AUGCCACACACAAACCCGGGGGUCCUUCUGUGUGUGUGUGUGUGUGUGUGUGUGUGUGUGUGUGUGUGUGUAGGAUGCCACACACAAACCCGGGGGUCCUGCUGUGUGUGUGUGUGUGUAGGAUGCCACACACAAACCCGGGGGUCCUGUUGUGUGUGUGUGUGUAGGAUGCCACACACAAACCCUGGGGUCCUGCUGUGUGUGUGUGUAGGAUGCCAUAUACAAAGCCGGGGGUCCUUCUCUGUGUGUGUGUGUGUGUGUGUGUGUGUGUGUGUAGGAUGCCACACACAAACCCCAGGGUCCGUGUGUGUGUGUGUGUGUGUGUGUAGGAUGCCACACAAACCCCGGGGUCCUUCUGUGUGUGUGUGUGUGUGUGUAGGAUGCCACACACAAACCCGGGGGUCCUGUUGUGUGUGUGUAUGUAGGAUGUCACACACAAACCCUGGGGUCCUGUUUGUGUGUGUGUGUGUGUGUGUGUGUGUGUGUAGGAUGCCACACACAAACCCGGGGUCCUUCUGUGUGUACAUGUGUAGGAUGCCACACACGAAUCCCAGGGUCCGUGUGUAUGUGUGUGUGUGUGCAGGAUGA
Molecule: long non-coding RNA, 588 nt
Filed under: Papio anubis (olive baboon)
Lineage: Eukaryota; Metazoa; Chordata; Mammalia; Primates; Cercopithecidae
Description: lncRNA (ENSPANG00000038138.1)
Source: RNAcentral